ACUGAAGCCCGAGCCGAGCCGAGCCCGAGCCGCCGCCGCCGCCGCCGCUGCUGCGCACCGCUCCCGGGCUCCCUCCCAGCGCGCCGGCCGGGGUGUGGGGGGCGGCGGGCCGGAGGGGCGAGGGCGGGCCAGGGGGCGCACACGGGGGUUGGCGCGGAAGACAGGACCCUCAGCCUCGAGGGAGCCCCUAGGUGACCAGGCAAAAUGGCAGUUCCUUCCAGCUGGUCCUCAGAUGGGCACAUCUAUUAGCCUCUGCUCUUGUAAGAAGUUAGCUGCAGAACCCACAUGUGAAUCCUUGUAGGACUCUGGAGAAGAUCAAAUGGGAGCUUAGAUGUGGAAGCUCUUUGGAAACCAAGAAACACUCUGAAAAUGAAAAGGGAACAGUUUGUGGACUUGCGCUGGCCCUUGGACCACACUUCGAGUGACAUUGUUAUAGAUGACACGGUCUCUUAUAGGAAAAUGCACAGUCUUUCUUAGAUUCUCUACCUCCCUCUUCCAUCUCAUUCCCAACAUAGAUCUGGGUACAUGAGUGGGGUCUUAUUAUAAUCUUGUGACACCCUUGGAUCAUGCACUACCCUCUAAAUAAUCAAUAGUUUCUACUAUAGAGAGGCUCAAUUUAUCUUCUCCCUGGAAUUGGGACCACUGAAAUAUAACUAGAACCCAACUGAUCUUUUGAGAUGUUGUGUGCUUGCCCUUACUGCUACUGCCGUAGUUCUGAACAUUUCCCCAAGCAUCAAAAAGGCCCCAUGGCCUCUUUUCCCCUAGACCUCUGCCAGUCCACCAACACUCUCAGUGGGGAAGUAAGAAGCCUGGUGGAUCCUGCUUCCCACACAAAGGCCAUGAUGAGACAGAUGCUUUCUAAGUCCGAUAUAUCUACCCACUUUCUGCUGUCACCUCUGUACCUCCUGAGUCACAUGGAAUGUGGUGCUGAGCCAAAUGGUCAGUCUUCUAGAAGCAGUGGAAUGUUGGAGGCAGCUUAUACCUUAGCUGAUUCUUAAAUUUUCAGGAAUUUUGUGAGCCAGUUUUUAAACACAGCCAUUGUUGAAAAUUAAACAAUAUAAACUUAUAAUCAAAUAUAUUAAAAAUAAAGAUAAUGCCCUCAACUCAUCACUUCCUAUUUAUUGUUUUACACUUUAGUACUAUCUAUGCUUAUUGUAUGUGUAUGGUGGAAAUACUACAUAAUGAUAUUUAAUGGUGUACUGCCACACAGCUCUUCACAACUCUGCAUUCAGUGACAUCACUUUGGUAGCUUGAAAUCAGCCAUGAUAGGAGUAUUUAUAUCUUGGAAAUUGGCAAAUAUUACAAAUCAGCAUUCCACCCUCCCUUACCUCCCCACCCCCCAGCCAGUUGUUAAACAUUUACCAGCAUGCAACCACCCAGAGCCUGCAUCUGGGAAAGUGAGCCACUAACCCAAUGACCUGUGAUAACCCUAUACAUAUCUAGCUGUUACUAAGCUGCCCUUCCCAUAACGGUCUGCCCCAAAAAGGUGUGUGUGCAGAGGAGAAUAAAAACUAAAACCCUAAGAUCAUCUUAUUUACUUGCCCUAUUUCUGCCUCUUUUCUCUCCCUGCCAUCUCUGGGGUCCAGAAGUAGAAGCUUUUUAUUGCCUCCGGAGUUUAUUCUUAUACAUCAAGGAUAAACAUUCAUGACCUAACAUCAUCUCUCUUGUUUUCUCCCGCCAAAGCUAUAAGGAUAGUCUAAUCAUGAAAAAACAUUAAACAAACUCAAAAUGGGGACAGUCUAUAAAAUACCUAACCAGUUCUCUUCAGAACAGUUAAGGUCCUGAAAGGCGAGGAGAGAAGAAGAAACAAUCACAACUUGGAGGACAUUAAUGCACUAAAUUUAAUAUGGUUUCAUAAGUUGGGCUGAAAAGAAAAGGACAGUAGAAAAGCUGGGAUAUGAGAAUACAGUCUAAGUGUAGUACUAAUGUUAAGUUUUUAAUCUCUAACUUGAUGGCAUGGUUAUAGAAAAUAGAAACAUUAGGCAAAGCUGGGUGAAAGGUAUACAGGAACUCUACUAUCUAUACAACUUUUCUGUAAACAUAAAAUUAUUUCAAAAUAAAACUAAUAUAAGAAAAAAACAUGGCCGACAUAACAGAUAGAAUGGAUAUCUUCUCUAGUCUAUGAAAAACCCUGUGUCCUACAUUCACUUGCUUUGUGAUAUAAUAAAAGGGGGAAAGGAAGGGAUGAUAGAAACAUUAUUCCUCUUAAUAAACUUGGAUUUUAAAAUCUUUUAUCUUUUCACAGCAUAAAACAUUCCACUUAGGAUGCUAUAUGUUGAGCAUUAACUUUCUCUUUUUCUUUAUAGUCUUUCUGUAAUAGUUCAAAUCCUGCCCACCCUGAGGGUGGAUGUUUCUAGAUGAUGAAGGAGGUCAUAAACAGAGAGUAGAUUAAUAUAAUUAUCUUUAUUUCAUGUCUAUUUGCAAAUGGGCCAUUGUUCACAUAGUUGUCUCUCUUUCUAAAUGGAAGAAUAGUUGGAGUUGGGGGUGGGGAAAUACCAGAACUGAGAGGAGUAAAGGUGCUUCAAGACAAUGCUUCUUAAACUUUGGUUUUGUGUUUGCAUCUCUUGGGGAUCUUGUUUAAAGUAGGUUGAGAUUCAGUAUGUUUGGGGAGGGGCCCGUUAAUCUGAUUUUAUAAAAAGUUCCUAGAUGAUGCCAUGCUGCUGGUCUCUGAGAAGCAAGAGUCUGGGGUCCUUUCUAAAGUGUUUCCUCUCUCCUCUAUACAGUCAGAAAAGGAAAGUGCUUACUGGUCAGAGAUUUAAAAGACAUAGGAGAUAUACCACACUUCUAUAAGACCAGAAACAAAAACAAAGAAAGAAGAAACAUAAUAACCAAAAUAUGACAUUAUUGCACACAAUGAGAUGCAGUAAAAGAUGGACUACUUAGGCAUUCACUGGACAUAAGUGAAGCUGCCUUUGGAGUUUAAUUUUAAGUUCUCAGUAACUCACUGUAUUUAGUCAUAUCGUUUCACAUACAGACAAAAUUCCUUCUCUACUAAGAAGGAACUAAAGCUCUCAGAAUUACUGAGUUGCACAGUACCAAUUUACAUGAAUAUUUUUCUUCCUCUAAAAGUUUGUAAUGACUAUGGUUCCUGGAAAAUAAUAUUUCAUUUUUUCAAUUCAUACUCUUAAUCUACCAAAAAAACACUCUUCCAAAAAUAUAAGCUAGAAAAACAGGUAAUUUGCUCAUAUCAUAGAGACAACUCAUACCAAUAAAAAAAUACAUUUUAAAAUUUGGAAAAUUACAAUGAGAGAAUAAAGCAUUUUGCAUGCAGAUGUGUUAUGUUUUUACUCCACAAUAUUGGGAGCUUCCAAAGUGUAACAUGCAUUUACAGAGCCACUCUCUUAGCAUUUAAACUGGGAGGCAUUUUUCGAGAAGCAUGAGUCUUGCUCAGCGGUCCUGUAGCCACUCUAGCAAUCUCACACAGUACAUGACUUAUAAAUAUUGUAUGUGCUUGAUGGAAGUAGACCUGGCUUUGCUAAUCACUUACCAGUUCUUUUGCCCAGUAUUUCUUUGUUUUAGAAGUAACUUUGUUUAGCUUACCAAAUGUAUAUUGUCCAAUUUGUAGGAAAUAUAAGUAAUAUUGCAAACAGCAAAAUGGGAUUGUAUGUGCAGAUCUCUGCAUCCUGGUGGGCCCUGUCAUGUUAGUAAUAGCUUUUCCUUGUGCUGUUGCCACUGCCAAACAGACUGCUUAUGCGAUCUUUGGCUUUCUUAACUCCUCUUUGGGGAUCAAUAAAGUGUUUCUUUUUUUUCUUAGAUACCAACUUCAUCUCUCUUUAAGAAUACAAUAUUAGUUUAAAAGAUUGUUCAACUUAAAGCAAUCUUGUAGAGAUUGUCACCCAUGAUUGAUGCUGGGUGAGUAGAAAGGAAAAUGUUGAUUUUAUCCUCUGCCUUUCAGAUCUUUGAAGGGGAAAGUGGGCUAGUUUUUUAAACUGCAGCCUGAUCAAAUGUUUCAAAAGUUGUUCAAAAGUAAUCUUAGUCCAACACUGCUCCUCUGACUUUUAUCUAGAGAAAUAGAAAAGUUUAUAUAUUAACGAUUUGUUUCUUUUAAGUACUUGUGUACAUUUUUCUCUUGCAAUAAGUAUUAAUAAUUGAAAAUUAUUAAAUUGUCAUUUUAAUGUUUUUUAUUAAGUAAGUUUGAUAUGUUUCUUAGCAACGAAGACCUGUGGCUCAAAUAGGAGCAGACAAUUCAUGGAAUCAAAUUUUAAAUUCAAGCAGAGCUAUCAUACUGACAUAUUUGUAUUUCCCUUUGUCUUGGAAUUAUUGGUUUGUUUAAAAUAAUAAGUUUAGCCAAUUAUUUUGUUAUUCUGUUAUUUAAAAUAUAAAUUUGCAGUCUAAAAUUUUUUGUGUAAAGGUGAGUGUAUAAAUGAAUAUAAAUAUAAAUAAAUAACUAAUGAUCACA
RNAcentral lists this long non-coding RNA (4399 nucleotides) under Homo sapiens (human). RNAcentral's name for it is "non-protein coding SATB1-AS1:94". Lineage: Eukaryota; Metazoa; Chordata; Mammalia; Primates; Hominidae. The record is from RNAcentral.